GCUAAAUAGCUAGCUUAAUCACCUAAAUAAUUAUUACACUAUUAAAUUAUUUAACAUAGACCCCAACUCACUAAACCAAAACAUUCUACCGCCCUAGUAUGGGAGACAGAAAAGGCACCUUAUAAGCAAUAACAAAAGUACCGCAAGGGAACGCUGAAAGAGAAAUGAAACAAAUCAUCAAAGCACUACAAAGCAGAGAUUAACCCUCGUACCUUUUGCAUCAUGAUUUAGCCAGCACUACCGAGCAAAGAGUACUUUAGUUCCAAACCCCGAAACUAAGUGAGCUACCCCGGGACAGCCUAUAGAUUUAGGGCCAACCCGUCUCUGUGGCAAAAGAGUGGGAAGAUCCCCGGGUAGGGGUGACAGACCUAUCGAACUUAGUUAUAGCUGGUUGCCUAAGAAAUGAAUAGAAGUUCAGCCCGCAGCCCUCAACUCACACACUUAAUAUUUACCAUGAGUCAGAGUGACAUGCGAAAGUUAGUCAGAGGGGGUACAGCUCCUCUGAAACAGGACACAACCUUACCAGGAGGUUAAAGAUUAUAUUAACCAAGAUUACCGCUUUAGUGGGCCUAAAAGCAGCCACCAAUUAAGAAAGCGUUAAAGCUCAAGAGGACCAACUAUCUAUUAUUCAAAUAUUAAAUCUUAGACCCCUAAUUAUACUAGGCCGCCCUAUGCAUCCAUAGAAGAGAUUCUGCUAAAAUGAGUAACAAGAAGGGACCCCCCCCCCUUCUCCUUAGCCUAUGUGUAUGCUAGAUCGAACCCCCGCUGGCAAUUACCGAACCCAAUAAAAGAGGGCAUUGUGGUUUCCAUUAAGUAUCAAGAAAACCCCACACUAACCCAAUCGUUAACCCUACACCGGAAGGCUUAUAUGAGGAAAGACUAAAAAAAGGGGAAGGAACUCGGCAAACACAAGCCUCGCCUGUUUACCAAAAACAUCGCCUCCUGCAAAAAUCAAUGUAUAGGAGGUCUUACCUGCCCAGUGACAAGUUUAACGGCCGCGGUAUUUUGACCGUGCAAAGGUAGCGCAAUCACUUGUCUUUUAAAUAAAGACCUGUAUGAAAGGUGAAACGAGGGCUUAACUGUCUCCCCCUUUAAGUCAGUGAAAUUGAUCUGUCCGUGCAGAAGCGGGCAUAUGAAUACAAGACGAGAAGACCCUUCGGAGCUUUAGACACAAGAUCACCUAUGUCAAUGACAAGCUCUAAGUCAAACUAUAUAGCAGUCUGAUCUUAGUCUUUUGUUGGGGCGACCACGGGAAAAAACAAAGCUCCCAUGAGGACUGGGGUAAUAACCCUAAAACUAAGAAAGACAUUUCUAGGUCCCAGAACAUCUGACCACAUUGAUCCGGCUUAACGCCGACCAACGAACCAAGUUACCCUAGGGAUAACAGCGCAAUCCCCUUCCAGAGUCCAUAUCGACAAGGGGGUUUACGACCUCGAUGUUGGAUCAGGACAUCCUAAUGGUGCAGCCGCUAUUAAGGGUUCGUUUGUUCAACGAUUAAAGUCCUACGUGAUCUGAGUUCAGACCGGAGCAAUCCAGGUCAGUUUCUAUCUGUAUUGUUAUUUUUCCUAGUACGAAAGGACCGGAAAAAUGGGGCCUAUACUAAAAGCAUGCCCCACCCCUACUUAAUGUUACCGACUAAAUUAAAUAAA
RNAcentral lists this ribosomal RNA (1649 nucleotides) under Pimelodus ornatus. RNAcentral describes it as "partial 16S ribosomal RNA". The stretch from base 99 to 1571 matches the Rfam family "Bacterial large subunit ribosomal RNA". Lineage: Eukaryota; Metazoa; Chordata; Actinopteri; Siluriformes; Pimelodidae. The record is from RNAcentral.